Molecule: ribosomal RNA, 309 nt
Filed under: uncultured bacterium
Lineage: Bacteria
Description: bacterial SSU rRNA
Rfam family: Bacterial small subunit ribosomal RNA
Source: RNAcentral
AGAGUUUGAUCAUGGCUCAGAUUGAACGCUGGCGGCAGGCCUAACACAUGCAAGUCGAGCGGAUGACGGGAGCUUGCUCCUGGAUUCAGCGGCGGACGGGUGAGUAAUGCCUAGGAAUCUGCCUGGUAGUGGGGGACAACGUUUCGAAAGGAACGCUAAUUCCGCACUAGGUCCUACGGGAGAAAGCAGGGGGCCUUCGGGCCCCGUCCUUUCACAUGAACCUGCGUCGGAUUAGCUUGCUGAUUAGCUAAUGGUUCUUCUACAGGAAACACCUAAGACCAUGAUUGCGGAUUCUCUGUCCCUCGUUUU